Molecule: long non-coding RNA, 228 nt
Organism: Enhydra lutris kenyoni (northern sea otter)
Lineage: Eukaryota; Metazoa; Chordata; Mammalia; Carnivora; Mustelidae
Exons: 3
Source: RefSeq, a predicted model, not a curated record
AAAUAGUAGCAAAUCAAAGCUGAAGAUAAUUUUUGAAAGCAUCACUUUACUUACUUUAAGGACAUUUACUCUUCUGUCUGGACAUCUUGCCAUGCUCGUCUGUCCACAAAUUCUUAGUCCCAGAGUUUUCCUUUGCAGAAAUCAACAGUAUUGAAAUAAAGAAGUUGUGCUUUAAGCCUCCUCGGUAGCUGGUAUGGGGACAACAUUGUUGCUCAGAAGAGUAGCCAA